RNAcentral lists this ribosomal RNA (419 nucleotides) under uncultured bacterium. RNAcentral describes it as "bacterial SSU rRNA". It matches the Rfam family "Bacterial small subunit ribosomal RNA", at positions 8 to 429 of the family's 1533-position model. The record is from RNAcentral.
AGAGUUUGAUCCUGGCUCAGGACGAACGCUGGCGGCGUGCUUAACACAUGCAAGUCGAACGGAAAGGCCUCUUCGGAGGUACUCGAGUGGCGAACGGGUGAGUAACACGUGGGUAAUCUGCCCUGCACUUCGGGAUAAGCCUGGGAAACUGGGUCUAAUACCGAAUAUGACCACGAGACGCAUGUCUUGUGGUGGAAAGCUUUUGCGGUGUGGGAUGGGCCCGCGGCCUAUCAGCUUGUUGGUGGGGUGAUGGCCUACCAAGGCGACGACGGGUAGCCGGCCUGAGAGGGUGUCCGGCCACACUGGGACUGAGAUACGGCCCAGACUCCUACGGGAGGCAGCAGUGGGGAAUAUUGCACAAUGGGCGCAAGCCUGAUGCAGCGACGCCGCGUGGGGGAUGACGGCCUUCGGGUUGUAAA